UACGUAGGGUGCGAGCGUUGUCCGGAAUUAUUGGGCGUAAAGGGCUCGUAGGCGGUCUGUCGCGUCGGGAGUGAAAACUCAGGGCUUAACCCUGAGCCUGCUUCCGAUACGGGCAGACUAGAGGUAUGCAGGGGAGAACGGAAUUCCUGGUGUAGCGGUGAAAUGCGCAGAUAUCAGGAGGAACACCGGUGGCGAAGGCGGUUCUCUGGGCAUUACCUGACGCUGAGGCGCGAAAGCCAGGGGAGCGAACGGG
This 253-nucleotide ribosomal RNA is filed under the name uncultured bacterium. RNAcentral describes it as "partial 16S ribosomal RNA". It matches the Rfam family "Bacterial small subunit ribosomal RNA", at positions 524 to 776 of the family's 1533-position model. The record is from RNAcentral.